UGGGGAAUAUUGGACAAUGGGGGCAACCCUGAUCCAGCAAUGCCGCGUGUGUGAAGAAGGUCUUCGGAUUGUAAAGCACUUUCGACGGGGACGAUGAUGACGGUACCCGUAGAAGAAGCCCCGGCUAACUUCGUGCCAGCAGCCGCGGUAAUACGAAGGGGGCUAGCGUUGCUCGGAAUGACUGGGCGUAAAGGGCGUGUAGGCGGUUUACACAGUCAGAUGUGAAAUCCCCGGGCUUAACCUGGGAGCUGCAUUUGAUANGUGUAGACUAGAGUGUGAGAGAGGGUUUGUGGA
This 294-nucleotide ribosomal RNA is filed under the name uncultured bacterium. RNAcentral's name for it is "partial 16S ribosomal RNA". It matches the Rfam family "Bacterial small subunit ribosomal RNA", at positions 355 to 666 of the family's 1533-position model. The record is from RNAcentral.